Molecule: long non-coding RNA, 1391 nt
Organism: Ictalurus punctatus (channel catfish)
Lineage: Eukaryota; Metazoa; Chordata; Actinopteri; Siluriformes; Ictaluridae
Source: Ensembl
CUACAUUAUAUUGCACCACAGUUUUGGACUUACCUUCUGUCCUAGCUCUUUCCUUUUAGGAUCCACCAUCUCAUAAGAACAAAAUGGUGGCACUAUAUAAAGGUCAGUGUUAGUUUGGUGGUUAAGACAUUGCACCAUUGAACAGCCUCGUCUUUCUAUGCGGGAGGCACAUAAAAACUCCCCUUUAGUCACAGCUGUAACUCUCACUCUGUGCUCUAAUACCCUUAAAGUGAACAGAGAACAGUGUGGGCAGCACUCGGGAUUAGCGAGCGUAGCUUGUGUGUCUAACUCCCAGACACGUGAUUCACAGGGGUAGAGAGUCGUUGGAAGAAAUCAUAGACCCACACACACGCAUAGGCGAGAGGGAUCUUUUCCCUUUGCUGCGCUACUGAAAGGGCUUGUAGUUGCUAUGACAGAGAUGCGAACACCAGGAAAUAAAAAGGAGCUGUGACCACCUCUAACUGUCCCAGAGAGCAUAGGUUACCAGGAUGUCCGAUGAGUUUUCACCUCUGUCUGCUCGCACGAACCUCAUAGAACACACACUGAGACUCCUCCAUACCGGUUGCCUGAACACAAAAAAAGUGGCUCAGGAUUAACUCAAGGUUAUGCGAGAUAUGGGAAUAAUUGAAGAGUCCCACAGUGACUGGAACAGCCUGGUGGGUUUGGUGCCCAAGACUGAUGGGUCAGUCUGUUUUUGUGUGGAUUUUAGAAAAAUCAACGCAGUGUCUAAAUUUGAUGCGUAUCCGAUGCCCAUCGGUUAAGUGUGGCUCGGUUUUGACACUGGAUUUAACCAAGGGAGGGGUAUUGGCAGCUUCCCUUGACUCCAAUAUCUUGUGAAAAAAGUCACUUUUCCACUCCAGUUGGGUUGCACCAGUUACCACCAGGUGGGGCGGGGGCAUGGGGGCGUGGUCGUUAGCGUAAGGCCAGACAGCUCCCCGGCCUGAGUUGGGUGGUGGGGUAUGUGGUGGCAGGGCCAUGGUCAAGUGUCAGCUGUGGAUGGAGAGGACGUGGGUCGCACCAGCAGGAGAUGAUUCUCACCUGUGUCUUAUACGGUAGACAUUAGGUUAAUUCCAAGUUAUGGCAUUAAAUGCUGUCCAGCACCGAACACAUGGGAAAUCUUUUGGACUUUGGUUUGAGUAAACAGAAAACAUAGCAGCAGCUGUACAUCAACACUGUCCAGAAGCGCCGCCCACUUCUCUGGGCUCGGUCUCAUCUGAGAUGGAGAGUAACACAGUGAAAUCGUGUUUUGUGGUCCAACGAGUUGACAUUUCAAAUCGUUUUUGGACAAAAUAGCCGUCAUGUUCUCCGGGCCGUCUAAGCUGUUAUCAGCAUCAGGUCCAAAAGCCAGUCCAAGUCAUGGGAUGUCCCUGCAUUUUCCAGCAGGACAACGC